Molecule: unclassified non-coding RNA, 1447 nt
Filed under: Arthroleptis aureoli (Freetown long-fingered frog)
Lineage: Eukaryota; Metazoa; Chordata; Amphibia; Anura; Arthroleptidae
Description: partial contains 12S ribosomal RNA, tRNA-Val, and 16S ribosomal RNA
Rfam family: Bacterial large subunit ribosomal RNA
Source: RNAcentral
CUGGAAAGUGUGCUUGGAACAACAUAAUAUAACUUAACUAAAGUACUUCGUUUACACCGAAAUGAUAUCUGCUCAACCAGAUUAUUCUGAGCCCGAAACUCCGCCCGACAAUCCCCCACCCCCUUAACUUCAUAAUAAAACAUUUUAACGACCCAGUAAAGGAGAUUGAAAAUUCUUUAAGAGCUAUAAAUAAAGUACCGCAAGGGAAAAGUGAAAUACAAAUGAAAUAAGUAAAGCAAAUAAGAGCAGAGAUAUAACCUCGUACCUUUUGCAUCAUGGUCUAGCCAGCACUAAGCAAACAAACACACUGCUAAGUUUGCUCCCCCGAAACCAGGCGAGCUACUUAAGAACAGCCUUUAGGGCCAACCCGUCUCUGUCACAAAAGAGUGGGAUGAUUCUUAAGUAGAGGUGAUAUGCCUACCGAGCCAGGAAAUAGCUGGUUGCUCAAGAAAAGAAUUUUAGUUCUUCCUCAAACCACAUCCUAAUUCUAAAUAAUACUUUGAGAACUAAUCAAAUAUGGUACAGCCUAUUUGAUAACGGAUACAGCCGAAAAUUCAGGGUAAUGUCCCCCAUAACUUAACCAAGUAGGCCUAAUAGCAGCCACCUUAUUUAAUAGCGUCACAACUUAAUUUUCAACUAUAACUAAUACCUCUCACCAUACAAAACCCCACCUCAGUACUGAGCACUUCUAUAAUAUAUAUAUGAUAUUAUGCUAGAACUAGUAACAAAGAAGAAAUACUUCUCCAAAAAUGUAAGUAUACCUCCCGGAAGAAUAUUACUAUACAGUGAGACCCCCCAAGAAACUUUUACUAUUAAAUACCAUUAAACUUACACAAGAACACUCCAGGAAAGAUUAAAAUAAAAAGAAGGAACUCGGCAAACCUUAGUCCCGCCUGUUUACCAAAAACACCACCUCUUGAUAACAUAUAAAAGGCCCAGCCUGCCCAGUGAUAUUUUAACGGCUGCAGUACCACUACUGUACGAAGGUAGCGCAACCACUUGUUCUAUAAUUAAGGACUAGUAUGAAUGGCACCACGAGGACCAUACUGUCUCCUCUUUACAAUCUGUGAAACUGAUCUUCCCGUGAAGAAGCGGGAAUUACAAUACUAGACGAGAAGACCCCAUGAAGCUUCAAACUAACACAGCAACUUUACUGUAUCAACAACACUCUAACACAAGUAAGUAGUGACCAUUAGUUUUUGGUUGGGGUAACCGCGGAGUAAAAUAUACCCUCCAUAGUGAAGGGGGCCCCCCCUAAUUCAAGAACCACAUCUCUAAAAAUCAGUAUACUGACGAAUCUGACCCAUAUAUUUGAUCAAUGAACCAAGUUACUCUGGGGAUAACAGCGCAAUCUAUUUUGAGAGUCCGUAUUGACAAAUGGGUUUACGACCUCGAUGUUGGAUCAGGGCAUCCAAGUGGUGCACCCGCCACUAAAGGCUCGUUGUCA